CGGAGAUGUUCACAUUCUACUGGGGAACUAGAUAAUAGUCAAAUAAACACCUACCUCAAAAAGACAACUUCCCGAUUCUCCUGAAGUGUGCUGAAGGAAAUAAAUACAGUGAUAUAAUAAAGCAGCAGCAGAAAAGACUUCUUUACACAGGGUUGUCAGAGAAGAUUGCUCUUGGGCAGUAAUAUGUGAUUUGUUAGCUACGAGAUGAAUGAUGUGAAGCCAUUUAUUACAUAAGGCCUGGUAACAUAAAACCUGACUGUUUUCUCCAGGUACCUGUCUUUUCUAGGUCAAUAAGGAAUGUAUCUCUGAGGAGGAGCAGUGACAUCUUUGAGAAAUCUGGUAAUGGCUAUCAUCCACCUCCAAUCUAUGUGUGAUCAUAGGAGAUGCCACCAUGGAAUUUGAAUAUAGAACUUCAGAGGAGCAGAGACCAGUUGAAGAAUGUCGUGUAAAGUGGAGGAACUGAGUAGGAACUGGCAAGACAUUCAUCAUGAGCAAGCGGGGCUCCAGGCCACUGGAUGUGCUCCUCCGGCAUUCUUACUGCAAACUGCCUCUCGCAUCCAAUGGAAGCUAGCUCCUAAUAAACUUGAAAUUGAUUAUUAAGCACUUCUCAUUUUCUUCUUAAACUGAAAGGAAUAAUUAAUACUAUCAGUGAUUGUUAGUACACUGCUCUGUACAGGGAUACCUUUACAAAUUACAAACAUCAGUAGACAGAUUUCAUGUUAG
This 723-nucleotide long non-coding RNA is filed under the name Vulpes vulpes (red fox). RNAcentral's name for it is "lncRNA (ENSVVUG00000010925.1)". The record is from RNAcentral. Lineage: Eukaryota; Metazoa; Chordata; Mammalia; Carnivora; Canidae.